RNAcentral lists this non-coding RNA (45 nucleotides) under Trichobilharzia regenti. Lineage: Eukaryota; Metazoa; Platyhelminthes; Trematoda; Strigeidida; Schistosomatidae. The record is from RNAcentral.
AUUCAUCCGACGAGUUCCAAAUAGGACGAAAUGUGCAUUAUGGAU